GACGAACGCUGGCGGCGUGCCUAAUACAUGCAAGUAGAACGCACAGUUUAUACCGUAGCUUGCUACACCAUAGACUGUGAGUUGCGAACGGGUGAGUAACGCGUAGGUAACCUGCCUGGUAGCGGGGGAUAACUAUUGGAAACGAUAGCUAAUACCGCAUAAUAUUGAUUAUUGCAUGAUAAUUGAUUGAAAGAUGCUAUUGCAUCACUACCAGAUGGACCUGCGUUGUAUUAGCUAGUAGGUGAGGUAACGGCUCACCUAGGCGACGAUACAUAGCCGACCUGAGAGGGUGAUCGGCCACACUGGGACUGAGACACGGCCCAGACUCCUACGGGAGGCAGCAGUAGGGAAUCUUCGGCAAUGGACGAAAGUCUGACCGAGCAACGUCGCGUGAGUGAAGAAGGUUUUCGGAUCGUAAAGCUCUGUUGUAAGAGAAGAACGGGUGUGAGAGUGGAAAGUUCACACUGUGACGGUAUCUUACCAGAAAGGGACGGCUAACUACGUG
This 505-nucleotide ribosomal RNA is filed under the name uncultured bacterium. Its description in RNAcentral is "partial 16S ribosomal RNA". It matches the Rfam family "Bacterial small subunit ribosomal RNA", at positions 28 to 507 of the family's 1533-position model. The record is from RNAcentral.